RNAcentral lists this ribosomal RNA (487 nucleotides) under uncultured soil bacterium. RNAcentral's name for it is "bacterial SSU rRNA". It matches the Rfam family "Bacterial small subunit ribosomal RNA", at positions 26 to 512 of the family's 1533-position model. The record is from RNAcentral.
AGAUUGAACGCUGGCGGCAUGCCUUACACAUGCAAGUCGAACGGCAGCACGGGAGCAAUCCUGGUGGCGAGUGGCGAACGGGUGAGUAAUAUAUCGGAACGUGCCCAGUCGUGGGGGAUAACGCAGCGAAAGCUGUGCUAAUACCGCAUACGAUCUGUGGAUGAAAGCGGGGGAUCGCAAGACCUCGCGCGAUUGGAGCGGCCGAUAUCAGAUUAGCUAGUUGUGGGGUAAAAGCCUACCAAGGCGACGAUCUGUAGCUGGUCUGAGAGGACGACCAGCCACACUGGAACUGAGACACGGUCCAGACUCCUACGGGAGGCAGCAGUGGGGAAUUUUGGAACAAUGGGCGCAAGCCUGAUCCAGCGAAUGCCGCGUGCGAGGAUGGAAGGCCUUCGGUUAGUUAACUAGUACUUUAGUACGUAACGGAAACGGUUACGUACUCUAAUACAGGGACGAAGUAGACGGUAACCGGUAAACGAACGUAAAG